UCUUAUAUUGCAGUGGCUUGCUUUUCCUACAAUUAUGAGUCACCUUGUUGUCCUCACAUGACAGUUUAUUUUCAUUAAUUUGUUUCCUUUUUUUCUUUGUCAUCAUUUUAAUGUUCUAAUCUUCAAAUGUAGCUUCCACAUCUGCUUGUAAUCCAUGAAAGACACAGAAUAAUGACCUUUCCUGUUAACUCUUUUAUCUUUGUUCAUUGUCUACUUCAUCUCCCAGAACCUUUACUGAUUGAAAGUUUGGUUGUUUACUCAUUCCCAGCAGUGAAUAGUCCACUUAGUUACUGGUGCUUGAAGUUGUGACACAGCGGAUUUCUAGAAUUGGUGAGCAAGAUUUACAAUUUAGAGUGAGGGAGAGCUGAGAAGGCUGAGAAAACAUUCCCAUCAUAUCUAGUCCCCAAAUGUAGAUCCCACAGGAAUGCAGGUCUACUUUCCUGUUGGGCCAUGUGGACAUGCUCAGAGGUCACUUCCUGAACCAGAGCAGACAACGAAACUACGUGUGACUGGAGGAGCAGGCCUUCAGACCACUUGCUCUAUGUGAGUUAUUAUCCCAUCACCCACAUGGAACUGGAGACAAGGGAAGGAACAGAGCAAGACAGGAAGCAUUGAUCAAUCCUGAUCCGCGUUUGUAGUGUGCUAAAAACAUUACUAAAUGCUAUGGUCCUUUCAACUCUUAUUGUAUGCAUGAGAAAUUGCCUACUGCUUUUCUUCUGAGAUGGUGGCAUGCUUAUUUUACUGAAAGAAAGCUCCCAACACUUCCAUUCACUCUACCUAUUAACUUUCAGGGAUACACACACGCACACACAUUAACUUUUUUUUUUUCUCAGAAGGAAUAAACAUUGCACACUGAGCUCUGGAUAAUAUGCUGAGUCCCUGAAAGCAAGACUAUACCCUAGAAAUGGAGUUCUGUUGAGCUGACAACUUCCUGACACUCCUGGUCAUAUGUAUCGCUGAAGUCAACUCCUGAGAAAGCAUCUGAUUGUUAAAGAAGAACCAUUCUCCUCUCCUUGCACAAUGCAUCAGCCUUGUUACUAUUGUUUACUGAGAGCAAUAUCAAAGUGUACGACUGUGAUGGGUAAACAUUGAAGACCAACAGUCAAUCAGCUUUGGUUUACAAAUUAGUCCUCCUCCAGGUUUGCCUUUUAAACAAAUUGGUACCUUAGGAAAUACCCUGAAAGUUUCAAACUCAACAGUUUUUCUUUGUAUAAAAAGGCAUUUGGCACUUUGACUAGCAAAAAAUCUUUAGAGGGAACACACUUCAGCUUUGAGGAAUUAAGAGUGUAACUUGGGGCCAUGGGCUCUCAAGACAAUUCCGUGAAGAGCCUGGCUUUGGGAACUGUAACUUCUGUCUUGAAAUAGCAGAUCUGGAAGCUUAGGAAGGGUUCUUUUAUUGCUUUUUGCUGGAUUUCUUAUCACUGAAAUUACUUGUAAAGCUGUUUGUUUAUAAUAACAUCAACUUGCAUCAGCUGUUCUAAGGGGAAAUAAGGAAGCAGAAAAUUGCAUAUCUUUGGGGAGUGAUAGAUAUUGGAGAAAGAAAAGCUUAAGAAGGAAGAAAAACAUCAGCAGAAAAGUGGCAAAGCCAGCCAAGGAGUCAUGCCAUCUUGCUGAAGUUUUCUGCUCAGGAGACCGCUUAGGCACCACAUUUACAUUAGAAGUUGUGUGCGCUGGAGAUAAUGAAUUCUGUGCGGCAUAUGCUUUAUUAAGGUCUGCUUUUCAGCUUUAAAAAUGUUUAAAGAUUAUUAUUCUUUAUUUAUCCUUUCUAAAACACCCCUAAGCACCUAAUAUGGGACAAGUAUUGAGCAAAUUACAGCAAAGAUUUAUGCUAAACUUCAAAUGGUACUCAUUGCUUUGGUUUUUCAUAGCUGCAGACUACGACAUACUUUAGCUGAUGUACUGUAUACUCUCUUCCCACUAUGAAUACCUGGUUGAAGACUGGAGAGAUGGUCCAGUUGUUAAAAGCAUAUCUUUACCCAGGACUGAUUCCCAGCGUCCACAUGAUGGCUCACAAUCAUCCAUAAUUUCAAUUCCGGGCAAUCCGAUGCCCUCUUCUGACCACUGGCACCAAGCACACUCACAGUGUGUGCCAAGGGCCAGCCUUGGCUUGGUUAGGGAAAUCCUGAGGAAGGAAUGUUUUGGAGUGGUGGAAGAAAAAAAAACCUCGAAUUCAGUGAUGAGUGUAAGCUGACAGCUCUGUAGUCUGCUCAAGACAGCUCUCUCUUGAUAGGAAAAAUUCUAAACACAUUCUGGAUAGUUCAUUUAUUUUCUGACCCAAGUCAGAAAGAGUGCUAAAAAAAAAAUUCUUGUGUUUUCUGACCAAAGUCAGAAAACUUGCUAGGAAAAUUCUACAAGAGCUCUGUUAGCUCUCUAAUUAGUUUUUUGGUUUUCCAAACAAAGUCAGAAAACUUCCCAGACAAAUUUCAAACAGGAACUACAAUAGCUUUCCAGACAGUUCAUCUUUUAUAGACCAAAGACUAGUCUUUGAUGUAUAUAUCAAUUCAGUCAUUUGCCCUAGGUUCCCUUUUGAUUAUCCCAUGAAUCAGCAUUUUAUGACCUUAGCCCCUUGAUUCUUGAAAUAUAACAGCAAAUACAUUGUUUUUAACAUAGCAAAUGAAUUCAGAAAUCUGUGUGCCUUUGUAAACAUAAAUAAUAAGCUAGCUGAGUGGAUCCCAAGAUCACCACUCUCACCAUUCCUGGACCUAAAGCUGCUCUAUUCCAGGCUGACCUUGAACUCAGAAUUCUAUCUGCUUUUGUAAGCAUAAACACUAAGUUUAUCUGGGUGGGAUCUUGGCCUGAGGUCACCUUUCCCUUAGUCUCUUUAUCUCCUUAAUAUUCUUCUGUUAGGGCUGCUCAGAGAAACCCUGUCUCAAAAACAACAACAACAACAACAACAACAACAAACAACAAAAUAUCCGUCUGACAAACCGGCUACCUCUGUUCUUUUAGGUUCAUGAAGGCCCUCAUAAAUUCAUGUUACAUCCUUAUAUUUUGCAUAGGUGCAAAAUUAUACACUCUUGAACCCAUUUUUCAGAGUUCUUUGCCAUAGCCUUAAGGUCUGUCUUGAAAGUCUCAGUGUCACAGAGACAAAUUCUCAUUUCCUAGGAUCGUUCUGUUCUUAAUUAUCAUGGAAUCAUUAACCUUGGCAGAAAAGACUUUCCCCCUGGUGGGGGAGCAUAUAUAUAUAUAUAUUAUGUAUGUGUGUGUGUAUAUAUAUAUAUAUAUAUAUACAUUUAUAUAUGUAUACAUAUGUGUGUAUAUGUGAAUAUAUAUGUGUGUACAUAUAUAUGUAAAUACUAUAUAGUAUACAACUUUAUAUAGAUAUAUAUAAAGUUAAAUAUAUGUAUUAUUAUACUGUCCAAACAAGCCUUACACCUAGCAACCAUCAACACUAAUGGAGGCCCACUCCCUGUUGGCUGCUACAGCAGGAACCUUGUGAUGUCUUCCUUUCCCUUCCCUUCCCUGCCUGGGCAGGACUCAGCAAGUGUGUAUACAUACAUCCAGGCAAAACACUGAUAC
Molecule: long non-coding RNA, 3519 nt
Filed under: Mus musculus (house mouse)
Lineage: Eukaryota; Metazoa; Chordata; Mammalia; Rodentia; Muridae
Description: long non-coding RNA chr6:41599937-41603456
Source: RNAcentral